This 421-nucleotide ribosomal RNA is filed under the name Blastocystis sp. Its description in RNAcentral is "SSU rRNA". It matches the Rfam family "Eukaryotic small subunit ribosomal RNA", at positions 521 to 948 of the family's 1831-position model. Lineage: Eukaryota; Bigyra; Opalinata; Blastocystidae. The record is from RNAcentral.
CAACGUACAAACCUUAUCGAUAAACAAUUGGAGGGCAAGUCUGGUGCCAGCAGCCGCGGUAAUUCCAGCUCCAAUAGCGUAUAUUAACGUUGUUGCAGUUAAAAAGCUCGUAGUUGAAAUGAAGGGUAGUUGUGUAAUGAAUACAUUCGUGUAUUUUGUUAUUCUACUACCCUCCUUCUAAAUUCGAUAUAUGAGUAUUAAUUUACUUGUAUAUGGUUUUAGACGUUUACUGUGAGAAAAUUAGAGUGUUCAAAGCAGGCAUUUGCUUGAAUAUAUUAGCAUGGAAUAAUCAUGUAUGAUUUUCAUGAUGUAUUUGAUUGGUUUGGUUCAUGAGAAUAAGAUUAAAAGGGACAGUUGGGGGUAUUCAUAUUCAAUAGUCAGAGGUGAAAUUCUCGGAUUUAUGGAAGAUGAACAAGGCGGA